CACAUAUAUUUGAAGUCUAACACAGAGGUAAAUGUUAUUAAAUAUAAAACGGCAAAAUCCAUAGAGGUUUUAUGUUUGGGAAUAAAUGUUCUCUGAAGGUUACAUACGUCUAUAACAACAGUACUGAAAAUGAGUAGAGGAACUGCAAAGUGAAACCAAAUGGAAUGUAAAGAGUAUCCCCUAGAAACAGCAGAAUGUAAUUUAAAUGUGAAUUUUACUUUUAUUUCUCAGUUUUAAUAAAAAAUGGAUUAUAAGGAAUACAGGUGGGUAUUUUUGCAGUAUAACGUUGUGUCAUUUUUAAAAGUUGUCUGCCUUAAACAUUUAUUUUUAUGUAAGCAAGGGCUUUUUUCCUCUAGCAAAUAUAAGUAAUCUGCUUCAGAAGCUGUAUUUCAAGAAAAGCUAUGGUAGAAUGCAGCAAUUCAUCUGAUAUGAGCAGUUUCUGGAAAGCAGAACUACAAGUUUUUUAUGUGACCUUGCUGAUAUGAAAUACUUCCAUUCUGAUGGGACCAUUGCCAAGUGAUGGAUGAGGAAGGUCUUCACAGUCACUCAAAGUUUUAAAGUUUUUUAUAGGUACCUAGGUCUAAUCAGUUCUAGUGGGAGUCAAGUACCUAAGUAUCUUCAAAAACCUGGGCUUCAGUCCUUCUAUCUACUAGAGAUAUUAAGUGCUCCAUGAAGAGGUGGUGUAUAUUUGUUUUGGGAAACCUGUCCUUAGAAAGCUGGAAUGAGAGAUUCAGUUCGUUUUUGUUACCUGCUGAAUGGCUGCAAAAUGAUGACAUGCCAAUGUCGCUAACAACCCACAGAAAACCUGUCGGAGAAUAAAAAAGCAGCUGCCCCCACCCCCCCCAACCCCCUAAAAAAAAAAAUUAAAAAAUGGGGUAAAGAAAUAGUAGAAUAACAACAGAUAAAAAUUUGGGUUUAAACACUCUCAGAUGCUGCGUGCAGGCUACAUGAACUAGCAGCAGCACAAUGGAAUGUGCCAGAGCAGGGGGAGGGAAGGGAGGCACGAUUCUUCUAAGAAUAAUCAAGUACAAAUUGCAGCGCUUAGGAAAUAAGAAAUUAUGAUGGCAGAUGUGAAGAAUCCUCCCUGAGGAGCUUCCUGUAAUAAAUGAAGCUUUUGUAAAGAAGUUUGAAUGGGCACGGUCAGGCAUUUUAUAGGGGGUAAACUGUUCCUAGUGAACCUACUUGUGUUUGCGAGAAAACAUUAGGACUGGAGACUUCUAGAAAUAUUCUCCAGUAUGAUUAAUAAUAUAUGACUCCACAGCUCUACAUGAGGAUUUCAAAUUACCUUAAAAAACACUCUGUGUUUUAUAAUUCAAGGCUCAUGCCCACCUUACACAUAGCUGAACUGAAGCUGCAAAGGCAUUAAGGCACUGCCUGGCAGGACCAAGAAUCUCCCAUUGGCCUUAGGAAACCCACAGUGCCCAAAGCAGACAAGACACAUUUUUGUUACCCCCCUGUUUAGUCCUAUCUUCUAUGACUGCUCUUAAGUGAUACGUCAAAGGAGAGGAGAAGCAGAUGGACCCUGGCACCCCAAUGUGCACUCUUAAGCUCUACUUUUUCUUCCCAAGUAAGGGGAAAAUCUGUGCUUAUCAACACAAACUAAUUCAAAGUAAUGUUUUUUCCCCCCUUUGUUUGCAAACAAAACUAAGCACAGCAAGUACACCACAGAUGCAUCAUUUAGUGCUGAAAAGCUCCUUUAAGCAGGGAAUCAAUCGCUGCACAUGGGAGAGCAUGUGAAUCACACCAUUAGGCAAGCCUGCGAGGAUGCUAGCCACAGACAUUAAGCAAGAAGUUCACCACAUGAAUCUGUAGGAAAUUGGAAGGCAACAUGUCUCACUUAAAAGGAAAAAAAGAAAAGAAAAAGAGAGACAUCACAGCAUCGCUAAGCCUUCUGCCCAAUGACAGUCAUCCAGUGUCAACUCUGGACACGUAAAAAGCAUCCAAGGCAAGAGGGGGUGGGAAGAAAAGAAAAAAAGAGACAAAUACUGCAAUAAAAAUAAGAUAGCUAGCAAUUGGAUGAAUAGCUUAUGCUAAACAAAAA
This is a non-coding RNA of Coturnix japonica (Japanese quail), 2041 nucleotides long. The record is from RefSeq and is a predicted model, not a curated record. NCBI's taxonomy places the organism in Eukaryota, Metazoa, Chordata, Aves, Galliformes, Phasianidae.